Molecule: ribosomal RNA, 497 nt
Filed under: uncultured bacterium
Lineage: Bacteria
Description: partial 16S ribosomal RNA
Rfam family: Bacterial small subunit ribosomal RNA
Source: RNAcentral
GAUGAACGCUGGCGGCGUGCCUAAUACAUGCAAGUCGAGCGAACAGACGAGGAGCUUGCUCCUCUGACGUUAGCGGCGGACGGGUGAGUAACACGUGGAUAACCUACCUAUAAGACUGGGAUAACUUCGGGAAACCGGAGCUAAUACCGGAUAAUAUAUUGAACCGCAGGGUUCAAUAGUGAAAGACGGUUUUGCUGUCACGUAUAGAUGGAUCCGCGCCGCAUUAGCUAGUUGGUAAGGUAACGGCUUAUCAAGGCAACGAUGCGUAGCCGACCUGAGAGGGGGGUCGGCCACACUGGAGCUGAGACGCGGUCCAGACUCCUGCGGGAGGCAGCAGUAGGGAAUCUUCCGCAAUGGGCGGAAGCCUGACGGAGCAACGCCGGGUGAGUGAUGAAGGUCUUCGGAUCGUAAAACUCUGUUAUUAGGGAAGAACAAAUGUGUAAGUAACUAUGCACGUCUUGACGGUACCUAGUCAGAAAGCCACGGCUAACUACGUG